This is a long non-coding RNA of Amblyraja radiata (thorny skate), 256 nucleotides long. RefSeq lists it as uncharacterized. The transcript is spliced from 3 exons. Lineage: Eukaryota; Metazoa; Chordata; Chondrichthyes; Rajiformes; Rajidae. The record is from RefSeq and is a predicted model, not a curated record.
GAUAAAUCUUCGCCCGAACAGUUCAUCUUUUGCGGAUAUUGGUUUAUUUGCUGAGGUUUCCACCACGAGUUUGUUAAAGUUUCGCAACACAAGUUCAAAAGAAUUCUUGAAGUUGGUUUCCAAUUUCAUGGAAGUUAUGGAAAAUUAUACAAUUGCUGCUGCCCGGAAAUUACAUCACCAACAAAAGGCAAACUUCUCUUCCAAUAACUUGGAAAUCGUUAUGCAAGCAAUCCGGAACAGCACAAUCCCAAACGCU